AUACGGGGGGUGCAAGCGUUAAUCGGAAUUACUGGGCGUAAAGCGCGCGUAGGCGGUUGGACAAGUUGGAUGUGAAAGCCCCGGGCUCAACCUGGGAAUGGCAUCCAAAACUGUCCGACUAGAGUUCGGUAGAGGGGAGUGGAAUUCCACAUGUAGCGGUGAAAUGCAUAGAUAUGUGGAGGAACACCAGUGGCGAAGGCGGCUCCCUGGAUCGAAACUGACGCUGAGGUGCGAAAGCGUGGGUAGCAAACAGGAUUAGAAACCCUAGUAGUCC
Molecule: ribosomal RNA, 274 nt
Filed under: uncultured bacterium
Lineage: Bacteria
Description: partial 16S ribosomal RNA
Rfam family: Bacterial small subunit ribosomal RNA
Source: RNAcentral